Molecule: ribosomal RNA, 401 nt
Filed under: uncultured bacterium
Lineage: Bacteria
Description: partial 16S ribosomal RNA
Rfam family: Archaeal small subunit ribosomal RNA
Source: RNAcentral
AUACCGGCUGCUCGAGUGAUGGCCACUAUUACUGGGUUUAAAGCGUCCGUAGCUUGACUGUUAGGUCUCUUGGGAAAUCUUUUGGCUUAACCAAAAGGCGUCUAAGAGAUACCGGCAUUCUUGGAACUGGGAGAGGUAAGCCGUACUUCGGGGGUAGGAGUGAAAUCUUGUAAUCCUCGAGGGACGACCUAUGGCGAAGGCAGCUUACCAGAACAGCUUCGACAGUGAGGGACGAAAGCUGGGGGAGCAAACGGGAUUAGAUACCCCGGUAGUCCCAGCCGUAAACAAUGUGCGUUAGGUGUGUCGGUUACCACGCGUAACUGAUGCGCCGAAGAGAAAUCGUGAAACGCACCACCUGGGAAGUACGGUCGCAAGGCUGAAACUUAAAGGAAUUGACGGGG